CGGAUGGAUUGAAGCUGUAUUAAUGUUGGAUUGAGAUAGCAGAAUCGGGGUCAGUAAGGAGGAAAUCAAUAAGGUUCAUUUUCCUCGGAUUUUUAAAUAGAUGUAAUACGCAAAAAGGUCCUGUCAGGACAAACAAAUAACACGCGGGAAUCAACUAGGCACCUCGUGCUAAGGAAACUCUCUUAAGCAGGUGCUAUUUAAUUUCUGCGUGUCACUUCUACGAGUUAUCAAGUCUUCGUGUUGCCACAAGUUGCGCUACAAACUUGGUCGCGGUGGUCGGCGCAGUUCUCGUGUUGCGGUCGUGGACCAAACUCGAAAAACAAGAUGACUCCGUUCAUUAUCGUCGUGUCUGUUGCUAUCACCAUGAAGCUAUUAUUCCUGAGCUUCUCAUUGAUAUUCACUUUGAAAACCACUGGAAAGGAUGAUCAGGAUUCCAAGUCGAAAGAGAUGAAACAAGAUAUUAUGCUGUUGAAAUGGAAGCAAAUUACCAGAUCUCUCAUGCCCAAAGUUUCGAGUUUUCCGAAAACGAUCUAACGAUGUAUGUAUGGUUCGUUAAGAACUGAAGUGUCUUAGAAUUCGUCCAUUCGUCCAAAAUAAGUUCCUAAAGAAUAUGAAAAUGUUAUGCAAGAUGAUGCCAUGCCAACCCAAAUACAGUCAUAAAAGUACUUAUUGCACAUUCACAUCAUACUUCGAAGAAAAAAUUAUUUAAAUAAUUAUUUACGAUGAGGUAGAGUCGCCAACAGAUCUCAGAUCAGAGUCAUAAUACCUUGUAAUGAGACAGAAAACUGGUACACUGGGUCUAUUUUCCACUGUAGAUAUUUAUAUUUUAGUUAAGUAUACAUAAUAUAAGUAC
Aricia agestis (brown argus) is the source of this 853-nucleotide long non-coding RNA. RefSeq lists it as uncharacterized. The transcript is spliced from 3 exons. Lineage: Eukaryota; Metazoa; Arthropoda; Insecta; Lepidoptera; Lycaenidae. The record is from RefSeq and is a predicted model, not a curated record.